RNAcentral lists this ribosomal RNA (727 nucleotides) under uncultured bacterium. RNAcentral's name for it is "bacterial SSU rRNA". It matches the Rfam family "Bacterial small subunit ribosomal RNA", at positions 771 to 1498 of the family's 1533-position model. The record is from RNAcentral.
AACAGGAUUAGAUACCCUGGUAGUCCACGCCGUAAACGAUGUCGACUUGGAGGUUGUCCCCUUGAGGAGUGGCUUCCGGAGCUAACGCGUUAAGUCGACCGCCUGGGGAGUACGGCCGCAAGGUUAAAACUCAAAUGAAUUGACGGGGGCCCGCACAAGCUGUGGAGCAUGUGGUUUAAUUCGAUGCAACGCGAAGAACCUUACCUACUCUUGACAUCCACGGAAUUUGGCAGAGAUGCCUUAGUGCCUUCGGGAACCGUGAGACAGGUGCUGCAUGGCUGUCGUCAGCUCGUGUUGUGAAAUGUUGGGUUAAGUCCCGCAACGAACGCAACCCUUAUCCUUUGUUGCCAGCGAUUCGGUCGGGAACUCAAAGGAGACUGCCGGUGAUAAACCGGAGGAAGGUGGGGAUGACGUCAAGUCAUCAUGGCCCUUACGAGUAGGGCUACACACGUGCUACAAUGGCGCAUACAAAGAGAAGCGACCUCGCGAGAGCAAGCGGACCUCAUAAAGUGCGUCGUAGUCCGGAUCGGAGUCUGCAACUCGACUCCGUGAAGUCGGAAUCGCUAGUAAUCGUGGAUCAGAAUGCCACGGUGAAUACGUUCCCGGGCCUUGUACACACCGCCCGUCACACCAUGGGAGUGGGUUGCAAAAGAAGUAGGUAGCUUAACCUUCGGGAGGGCGCUUACCACUUUGUGGUUCAUGACUGGGGUGAAGUCGUAACAAGGUA